GGCAACGGCCAUACCACGCUGAGUAUACCGGUUCUCGUCCGAUCACCGAAGUCAAGCAGCGGCGGCGUGGUUAGUACUUGGAUGGGUGACCGCUUGGGAACACCACGUGCUGUUGUCU
Molecule: ribosomal RNA, 118 nt
Filed under: Anthonomus grandis grandis
Lineage: Eukaryota; Metazoa; Arthropoda; Insecta; Coleoptera; Curculionidae
Source: RNAcentral